GCCCAACCCUCAAGCCUGUCCAGGUCCCUCUGAAUGGCAGCACAGCCCUCAGAGGUAUCAGCCACUCCUCCCAGCUUUGUGUCAUCAGCAAACUUGCUGAGGGUGCACUCUAUUCCAUCAUCCAGGUCACUGAUGAAUAGGUUGAACAGGACUGGAUCCUGGGGGACACUGCUAGCUACAGGCCUCCAACUAGACUCAGUGCCGCUGAGCACAACCCUAAAUAUCGUAAAUAUCAUAAAGUAUUAUUAAAUAUCAUGAAGAUAUUUAAUGACACUCAUAGUCUCAGUUUUUGCCCAUCUAUGAAUAUAAGCAAAAAUUGUUGAUGUUAAUUUUGAUAUUGAGGAAAUAUUUAAAAGCCAGUCUAAAAUCUAUAAUUUUUUGACAUACUCUGUGGUGCAUUUGGUACAUUAUAGGUCAAGCAUCCGUAUUUUCUCACUACCAUCACUGCAAUAGUAUACAUUUUAAAUCCAUGCUACACUCGGCACUAAGUGAUGGUGCAUUGUGACAACUAUUUAUCCCUCUGACCAAUGCUGCCUUUUUGUUGCCUUCUGUUCUCUCAUUGGCAUGUCAUCUCCACCUGUUGCCUGCUUUUAUGUGCUCAGGACUUGUCCGCGGGAGUGUUCCUGCACCGUACUAAGUGGAUUCAGCAGGUGUUGGCAUUAUGCACUCGAUGUAAAUCUGCCUUUAACAGUAGACAAAGCAACAAGAGAGGACACUUCCUCACUACAUGUUUGCACAAUGAGGACAACAGUGAGAGGGUGAGGAAAGAACUGCUUUAUAACUAGAAUCCUUCAUCUCACUUAAAAGUGAAGAUAUAUUUUCUACAGAUAAUUUACAAAGGACAAAGUUUACUGAUGUGUUAAGAGACUGGACAGGUCCUACACUGCUGGCCAUAUCUUACCCUGCAGAAGUACUGGAUAUUGUUAUAUACUGCAACGUAAAACUUUAUUUUAACUUCUUCAUCACUUGAGCAGCAUAUGUAUGUGUAUCUGUCUAGAUAGAUAGCAGACAGACCAAUGAACAUAUUAACGACAUUUCAUCAGGUGUCACAGUGUGUUGAAAUAAAAUUUAUCUCCUGCAGGUCA
Molecule: long non-coding RNA, 1085 nt
Filed under: Anser brachyrhynchus (Pink-footed goose)
Lineage: Eukaryota; Metazoa; Chordata; Aves; Anseriformes; Anatidae
Description: lncRNA (ENSABRG00000014389.1)
Source: RNAcentral